Molecule: ribosomal RNA, 252 nt
Filed under: uncultured bacterium
Lineage: Bacteria
Also listed under: 1 other name
Description: partial 16S ribosomal RNA
Rfam family: Bacterial small subunit ribosomal RNA
Source: RNAcentral
AACGUAGGGUGCAAGCGUUGUCCGGAAUUACUGGGUGUAAAGGGAGCGCAGGCGGGAAGGUAAGUUGGAUGUUUAAUCUACGGGCUCAACCCGUAUCAGCAUUCAAAACUAUUUUUCUUGAGUGGUGCAGAGGUAGGCGGAAUUCCCGGUGUAGCGGUGGAAUGCGUAGAUAUCGGGAGGAACACCAGUGGCGAAGGCGGCCUGCUGGGCACUAACUGACGCUGAGGCUCGAAAGCAUGGGUAGCAAACAGG